AUGAGCGGCCAUAAGCUGUCGCUACUGGUUGCCUUGACGGCAUUGGUGGCGUUGACGGCGGUGGAGGCGGAGUACAAUGUCGUCGACUACGGCGCGAGGCCCGACGGCGGGGCGGACUCGGCUGGGGCGUUUUUGGCCGCGUGGGGCGCGGCGUGCAACGACACGGGGAGCUCCGGCUCCCGGCCGGUGCUGCGCGUGCCGGCGGGCAGGUUCCUGCUCAGCCGGGCCUACUUCAAGGGCCCAUGCCGGAGCGCCGGCGUGGUUGUCGCCAUCGACGUCAAUGGCACCGUUUUCGCGCCGCCGACCGUGGACAGCAGGGCGUGGAUCAUGUUCCACCACGCCGACGGCCUGGCGAUCCGCGGCGGGACGUUGGACGGGCAGGGGCAGGAGUACUGGGCGUGCAAGAAGGACGGCAGGUGCACCGGGCAGGGCCCUACGACGCUGGACAUUAGUCAGUCCAAGGGCGUGAGUGUGAAGCAGCUGACGCUGCUCGACAGCAAGAACGUCCACAUGGUCAUCUUCGACUCCACCGGCGUGACGGUCCAGGGCGUCAGGAUGGUCGCUCCGGCCAACAGCCCCAACACCGACGGCAUCCACGCCCAGCUCUCCCGCCACGUGAGCAUCCUCAACACCACGAUCAGCACCGGCGAUGACUGCGUCUCCCUGGGGCCCGGCUCCUCCGACGUGCUCAUCAGGGACAUCAAGUGCGGCCCGGGCCACGGCAUCAGCAUCGGGAGCAUGGGAGGGCAGGCCGGCGAGCAGGGGGUGAGGAACGUGACCGUGGAGAGGGCGGUGCUGACGGGCACGACGAACGGCCUGCGAAUCAAGACGUGGGGGAUGCCCAACCCAGGCUCCGUCACGGGCGUCUCCUUCUCGCAGGUCACGAUGCAGCGCGUGGCGAACCCCAUCGUCGUCGACCAGAACUACUGCCCCCGCAGCCGCAAAGUCGAAUGCCCGGGCAAGAGCUCGGGGGUGCAGAUCAGCGACGUGUCGUACGAGGACAUCGAGGGCACGUCGAGGACGCCCGUGGCGGUCAAGUUCGACUGCAGCGACACCAACCCCUGCAGCGGGAUCAGGCUCAAGAACAUCAGGCUGACGUACCGGCACAAGCGGCCGGCGCAGGCCAAGUGCCGGAACGCCGGCGGGUCCGCGUCCGGGGAGGUCACGCCGCCGAGCUGCUUCUGA
RNAcentral lists this ribosomal RNA (1185 nucleotides) under Triticum aestivum (bread wheat). RNAcentral describes it as "partial small subunit ribosomal RNA". The record is from RNAcentral. Lineage: Eukaryota; Viridiplantae; Streptophyta; Magnoliopsida; Poales; Poaceae.